RNAcentral lists this ribosomal RNA (253 nucleotides) under uncultured bacterium. RNAcentral describes it as "partial 16S ribosomal RNA". It matches the Rfam family "Bacterial small subunit ribosomal RNA", at positions 524 to 776 of the family's 1533-position model. The record is from RNAcentral.
UACGAAGGGUGCAAACGUUGCUCGGAAUUACUGGGCGUAAAGCGUGCGUAGGUGGUUUCUUAAGUCUGAUGUGAAAGCCCACGGCUCAACCGUGGAGGGUCAUUGGAAACUGGGAAACUUGAGUGCAGAAGAGGAGAGUGGAAUUCCACGUGUAGCGGUGAAAUGCGUAGAGAUGUGGAGGAACACCAGUGGCGAAGGCGACUCUCUGGUCUGUAACUGACGCUGAGGAGCGAAAGCGUGGGGAACAAACAGG